UAUUUCGUCUACUUCCGCCGGUUUCGUCUUCCUUCUCCAGCCGUAUAGCCUAUAGUGGGAGGGAGGUAGACAGAGGAAGCGAAUGAAAGGGAUUCUUUACUGAACGAACGGGAUAUCAAACCGAUUCUGGAAGAGUAUUGGCUCGCGUCUGAGGAUCUUAUUCAGAAAUCGAAGGAGGGACUGUGGUGCUCUGAUUUGUGGUGUUGGCGAGAGUGAGGAUCGCAGAUGGUGGCUUGCUUGAUUUUGAUGCUGUUGUGUCGAGAUCGAGUUUCGGUGUUUCGUACGAUCAGCACUUGCCGUCGUCAUGGUUGAAGAGUAGUUGGGGGGUUUCUGCCAUCGUCUUCCAGAAGCUUUAAAAUAUCGUAAAGGCUUUACUGAGCGAUCGAAGAUUACCUGUAAGAGGCUUCAUCGUCUAUGUCUCUCUUGAACCAGCUAUCAAUAGAGGCGUUUUCGGCACAAAAUUGUCAGUCUUGCCUUUGGCCUCUCUAUACUCAAAACACUGAAUCAAUUUUUGUCAUCUGAACCAACCAACUCGGUAAUUUUCUCACUUUUUUGAUACAUGUACAAACUGGUUAUUUAGAUAGAGAUAUGAUAUCAAAAUGAUUGAAUUGAAUACAUUAUUCUUGCAUUAUGUAUACCUGUAAUUGUAAUUAUGUAUACCUAUAAUUUGGCUUUAUGUAUUUAUUUUUUUGAAACAAAAUUUGGCUUUGUUUUUGUAGUUUAUGUUUUGGAUAUCAUUUAAUAUAAAUCGGUAGGUUGUGCAUAUUGAAGUAGCUCCGAGAACCAAACUUUUUUGACACUCAAAGAGGGAGAGGUUGGACCGGAAACAAAUAGAAGAGGUUUGGCUUUUAGUCUCAUUCAUCUUUGCAGAAAACAGAAGAAGGCUUGCUAUUGUUCAGUUUAUUCUUCUGAGGUAUAGUUGGUAAAUUUGGAAUUUUUGUUUCAAAUAGGUGUUCUUUUUUAUUUACAUAUGUGCGAUUUAGUAUGAUUUAAGUAUUGUGAUUAAGUGUUUGACUUUGCACAGAUAUACCUUAUUAAUUGUUAUUUACAUGUGUGAACUGAUUUCAUGUUCUAAACAGUGUGCUAGAUACGUAUUCCUAUUUGAGAUUUCGAUUUGUAUAUAUUUGGUGUUGUAUAAUGAAAGUGAUGUUUGGGAAUUAGUUUGGAUUUGAUAAUGGAAUUGUUUAGAUGCUGUUUAUUGAAUGUUUGAGUUCAAUAAUGGAGUGAGAAUGAAACAAGAAUCAUAGCAAAGAAAGUUUGACCAAAUUAGCAUUGAGCCUUUAAAUGCUUUCAUUCUUUGUGUAAAUAAUUGUUUCUUUUCUUUUCUGAAGCUUAUAUUCAAUAAUGGUUUUAGGUUUUGUGUAUUUGUUUUAUUUUGUUUAGAUGUUGUUUUUAGGGUUCUAUAUAUAUACCGAGCAGAAGAUUGUCUCAGGGCUUUAGUUUGUGCUUUUUCAUUCAUAUUGAUAUAAAGAUUUGUAAUUUUGUGCAGAAAGUUAUAAACUUAUGUUUAGUUUUAAAUUUUGAAAUCAGUUUGUAUGAUAUUUUUCCAGUUUGAAAAUCAUUAUGUCAUUGAAUAUUAAGUGAUACUAAGUUGUAAUCAUAAUCUAAUUGCUUUUGUGGUAAGAACCCUA
Rosa chinensis is the source of this 1631-nucleotide long non-coding RNA. RefSeq lists it as uncharacterized. The record is from RefSeq and is a predicted model, not a curated record. NCBI's taxonomy places the organism in Eukaryota, Viridiplantae, Streptophyta, Magnoliopsida, Rosales, Rosaceae. The transcript is spliced from 4 exons.